RNAcentral lists this non-coding RNA (26 nucleotides) under Homo sapiens (human). The record is from RNAcentral. Lineage: Eukaryota; Metazoa; Chordata; Mammalia; Primates; Hominidae.
UGUGAAAGUGCCAGGUUGAAGGAUGA